This 253-nucleotide ribosomal RNA is filed under the name uncultured prokaryote. RNAcentral's name for it is "partial 16S ribosomal RNA". It matches the Rfam family "Bacterial small subunit ribosomal RNA", at positions 524 to 776 of the family's 1533-position model. The record is from RNAcentral.
UACAGAGGGUGCGAGCGUUAAUCGGAAUUACUGGGCGUAAAGCGCACGUAGGCGGCUUGGUAUGUCGGGUGUGAAAUCCCCGGGCUCAACCUGGGACCUGCAUUUGUGACUGUAUAGCUAGAGUACGGUAGAGGGGGAUGGAAUUCCAGGUGUAGCGGUGAAAUGCGUAGAGAUCUGGAGGAAUACCGGUGGCGAAGGCGGCCCCCUGGACAAAGACUGACGCUCAGGUGCGAAAGCGUGGGGAGCAAACAGG